UACGGGGGGAGCAAGCGUUGUUCGGAUUUACUGGGCGUAAAGGGCGCGUAGGCGGCCACCGCAAGUCGACUGUGAAAUCUCCGGGCUUAACCCGGAAAGGUCAGCCGAUACUGCGGGGCUAGAGUGCAGAAGGGGCAACUGGAAUUCUCGGUGUAGCGGUGAAAUGCGUAGAUAUCGAGAGGAACACCUGCGGCGAAGGCGGGUUGCUGGGCUGACACUGACGCUGAGGCGCGAAAGCCAGGGGAGCAAACGGG
This 254-nucleotide ribosomal RNA is filed under the name uncultured bacterium. Its description in RNAcentral is "partial 16S ribosomal RNA". It matches the Rfam family "Bacterial small subunit ribosomal RNA", at positions 524 to 776 of the family's 1533-position model. The record is from RNAcentral.